UACGAAGGAUGCGAGCGUUAUCCGGAUUUAUUGGGUUUAAAGGGUGCGUAGGCGGCCUUAUAAGUCAGGGGUGAAAUCCUAUCGCUUAACGAUAGACGUGCCAUUGAUACUGUAGGGCUUGAGUACAGAUGCCGUUGGCGGAAUGUGUCAUGUAGCGGUGAAAUGCAUAGAUAUGACACAGAACACCGAUUGCGAAGGCAGCUGACGAAACUGUAACUGACGCUGAGGCACGAAAGCGUGGGGAUCAAACAGG
RNAcentral lists this ribosomal RNA (253 nucleotides) under uncultured bacterium. Its description in RNAcentral is "partial 16S ribosomal RNA". It matches the Rfam family "Bacterial small subunit ribosomal RNA", at positions 524 to 776 of the family's 1533-position model. The record is from RNAcentral.